UACAGAGGCCCCAAGCGUUGUUCGGAAUUACUGGGCGUAAAGCGAAUGUAGGCGGUGACGUAAGUCAGAUGUGAAAGCCCGGGGCUUAACCCCGGAAUGGCAUUUGAUACUGUGUCGCUGGAGUGCGAUAGAGGAAAGCGGAAUUUCCGGUGUAGGGGUGAAAUCCGUAGAUAUCGGAAGGAAUACCGAUGGCGAAGGCAGCUUUCUGGCUCGCAACUGACGCUGAGAUUCGAAAGCGUGGGUAGCAAAC
RNAcentral lists this ribosomal RNA (250 nucleotides) under uncultured bacterium. RNAcentral describes it as "partial 16S ribosomal RNA". It matches the Rfam family "Bacterial small subunit ribosomal RNA", at positions 524 to 773 of the family's 1533-position model. The record is from RNAcentral.